Molecule: long non-coding RNA, 2396 nt
Organism: Photinus pyralis (common eastern firefly)
Lineage: Eukaryota; Metazoa; Arthropoda; Insecta; Coleoptera; Lampyridae
Exons: 3
Source: RefSeq, a predicted model, not a curated record
CAUAACUUAAAAUUCUGUAUUGUCGGUGCAGGCUUAGAGGUAGAAUUCCAGAUUCGCAGGCUAAGCUAACACUAGGACUGGUAUAAAAUGCACCUAGACAAUACCGAAUAGCACUGUUCUGUAUUGAGUCCAACCGCGCUAGAGUACUUUUUGAAGCAGAAGAGUAUGCUUCACAACCAUAAUCUAUCUUUGAUCUUAUGAGUGCUUUGUACAUUCGUAACAAAAUUUCUGUUUCAGCACCCCAUUUGGAGUUGGCUAACACUCUGAAAAUACUGAGGGCUGUCUUACAACGUGUAGGUAAUUAAAUUAUCGAUAUGCAUCUUCCAGGUUAGUGCAGAGUCCAGCAGCACACCAAGAAAUGUACCAGUUGGUUUGCACUCAAUAUACCUGUCCUGUAAGAGGAGCAUUGGGCCGUCAUGUGGUUUUCUUAAUCGACAAAAGUGCAUACAGUAAGAUUUAUCGACUGAUAAUUUAAAGCCACAUUUAUGUGAGUUUAAUACGAUACUGUCAAUCGCCUGUUGCAUUUUUCUAUUAAUUUCCCCCAUACUCGGUCCUGAAUACACAAGCGUUAGGUCAUCGACGUAUAGAUAUGUGCUUACAUCGUCAGAAAUGGAGGCAGUAAUGGAGUUGAUUGCGAUAGCAAAUAAUACCACACUUAAGGUAGAACCUUGCGGUAUUCCAUUUUCUAACGUUCUGGACGUAGAAAGCGUAUUACCUACUCUAACACGAAAUUGUCGAUCUUGUAGAAAGGAGGAGAUAAGUUUCGGUAGGUUUCCUUUCAAACCCCAACGUCUGCAACCCUCCGUGUCUCCACGUCAUGUCAAAUGCCUUUUCAACAUCAAAGAAGACUGCAACUGCGUGAUGUCUAUGGGAGAAGGUUUCAAGUAUCUUAUUUUGUAGGUGUACUAGAUGAUCAGCGGUUGAUCUGUGUCUUCUGUAUCCUGCCUGGCAGCUUGUAAAGCGUUCCUCUUUUUCAAGCAGCCACAUUAAUCGAUAGCUUACCAUGCGCUCAAACACUUUAGCUAUGCAUGAAGUUAAGCUGAUCGGUCGGUAACUUGAGGCCAGGUACGGAUUUUUUGCACUUUUUAAAAUAGGGAUCACGAUCGCUUCCUUCCAGCAGGUUAGAUAUACGCCUCGGUGGAGUAGGGUCUUAUAUACCGUAUAGAGGUUCCUUAACAUCUCGUAAGUUAUAAGAUCUGGCCCAGGAGAGGAAGAUUUAUUGCACGUGAGUGCCGUUUCGAGCUCAAUCAUUGUAAAAGAGUGAUUAUAGUCGAAGUCUUCCAAGUGUGUGAAGUUGAGGUCUACUUCGUUCCUAGCUUUAUGUGCUAAGAAUCGUGGCUCAUAAUUUUCCGUACUGCUAGCUUUUUGAAAUUGGUCUGCUAGAAGCUCAGCAGUUUGCUCUGGUUGACUUGUCACUUGGUUAUUAUUAAUUUGCAGUUGUAUUGUAAUAGCAUUCUUUCCCGAUACUGCUUUAAUCUUUUGCCAUACUUGUUUAGUAGGAGUUUGGUGGGUAAUUGUUGACGUAUAGUUAUUCCAAGUUGCUCUUUUACUUUGAAGAAUCGUUCUACGGGCAUUUGCUCUUGCCUUUUUAAAAACUAUAAGGUGUUCAUUUGUGGGAUAUCUAUGAAAUGUAUUUAUUAAAUGCUUUCUUUUUGGCUUUGACUGCCUCGCUGACAUCCCGAUUCCACUAGGGUACUCGAUGUUUGACGGGGGUCCCGCUUGUUUUUGGUAUGGCAAGAUUAGCCGCAUUAUAGAUGGCAGAUGUAAUUUCUUUUAAGCCACGUGGAAGUGUAUUUUGUGAUACACCUAGCUCCAAUUGAUAUCUGUAUAGAUCCCAACGAGCUUCCGAAAUCUUCCACCGUAUCGGACGUGUUGCAGGUGCCUCUCGUGUGUGCGUUUCGAUAUCAAUUGGAAAAUGGUCGCUGUGAUGAAGAUCAUCUAAUAUCCUCCAGGAGAAUAGUGUUGCAACGCGUGGAGAAGCUAUGGUAAGAUCGAUCACCGAAAAAGUUCCGGAUCGCGCACAGGUCUCGUCCUCUAGCAUCUGUAUGAGAUGAGUCCCAUAGGGAAUUAUGGGAAUUAAAAUCACCCAUUAGCAGAUACGAGACUGGCAUUUGAUCUAUAAGAUUCUGCAGUUCAUGCUGCUGCCAAUUUCUAUCAGGGGAGCCAUUAUUUCAAUUGCUACAGCUUGUAAAUUUGUUUGCAAUGGUAGUGGUUUGAACUGUACGUCAUCUUUUACUAUGAUCGCAACUCCACUCUUUGAUCUGAGAUUAGGAAUCAUAUCUUUCCUUACGAUUUUGUACCCGCGUAACCUAUAUGGCUGACCAGGUCUAAAUCUUUAAUUUUAUUUAACUUACAUUUCUGAGAAUUUUAUUUCACUUUUAUUCUGUUAUCAUUGU